GGGGGCGUAGCCAAAUGGAUAACGGCAUAGCGUUUACGCCAACGUUGUGGGUUCGACUCCCACCGCCUCC
RNAcentral lists this transfer RNA (70 nucleotides) under Candidatus Latescibacterota bacterium. RNAcentral's name for it is "tRNA-OTHER". It matches the Rfam family "tRNA". From Rfam's summary of the family: Transfer RNA (tRNA) molecules are approximately 80 nucleotides in length. Their secondary structure includes four short double-helical elements and three loops (D, anti-codon, and T loops). The record is from RNAcentral. Lineage: Bacteria; Pseudomonadati; Candidatus Latescibacterota.